RNAcentral lists this small RNA (88 nucleotides) under unclassified sequences. RNAcentral's name for it is "GA-cis RNA". It matches the Rfam family "GA-cis RNA". The record is from Rfam by way of RNAcentral.
UCUAGGGGAAACAAAAUGAACAAAAUUCAUUUUUAAUAAAUGUUUCCGACGAAUAGCCGCCGACCAAAGGGCGGGGGCAAUACAUAUU